GAACGCACAUUGCGCCCAUUAGCAUUCUAGUGGGCAUGCCUGUUCGAGCGUCAUUUCGACCAUUAAGCCUUGUAGCUUAGCGUUGGGAGCCUACUGGCCUAGCCCGUAGCUCCUCAAAGUUAGUGGCGGAGUUAGCACAUACUCUAGGCGUAGUAAUUAAUCAUCUCGCUUUUGUGGUUGUGCUGGCGCCUGCCGUAAAACACCCAAUUUCAAUAGGUUUGACCUCGGAUCAGGUAAGAAUACCCGCUGAACUUAAGCAUAUCAAUAAGCGGAGGAAAAGAAACCAACAGGGAUUGCCCUAGUAACGGCGAGUGAAGCGGCAACAGCUCAAAUUUGAAAUCUGGCCCUCGGGUCCGAGUUGUAAUUUGUAGAGGAUGCUUUUGGCGCGGUGCCUUCCGAGUUCCCUGGAACGGGACGCCUUAGAGGGUGAGAGCCCCGUACGGUUGGACGCUAAGCCUUUGUAAAGCUCCUUCAACGAGUCGAGUAGUUUGGGAAUGCUGCUCUAAAUGGGAGGUAAAUUUCUUCUAAAGCUAAAUACCGGCCAGAGACCGAUAGCGCACAAGUAGAGUGAUCGAAAGAUGAAAAGCACUUUGAAAAGAGGGUUAAAUAGCACGUGAAAUUGUUGAAAGGGAAGCGUUUGCGACCAGACCUUUUCCUAGCGGAUCAUCCGGUGUUCUCACCGGUGCACUUCGCUAGGUUUAGGCCAGCAUCGGUUUCCGUAGGGGGAUAAAAGCCUGGGGAAUGUGGCUCCUUCGGGAGUGUUAUAGCCCCUCGCAUAAUACCCUUAUGGGGACCGAGGACCGCGCU
This 807-nucleotide ribosomal RNA is filed under the name Xylariaceae sp. genotype 270. RNAcentral describes it as "eukaryotic LSU rRNA". The stretch from base 220 to 807 matches the Rfam family "Eukaryotic large subunit ribosomal RNA", at positions 1 to 599 of the family's 3401-position model. The record is from RNAcentral. Lineage: Eukaryota; Fungi; Ascomycota; Sordariomycetes; Xylariales; Xylariaceae.